This is a long non-coding RNA of Felis catus (domestic cat), 6133 nucleotides long. RefSeq lists it as uncharacterized. The record is from RefSeq and is a predicted model, not a curated record. The transcript has 6 exons. Lineage: Eukaryota; Metazoa; Chordata; Mammalia; Carnivora; Felidae.
UAGUUUUGUGCCUAGAAGAGAAAGAAAUAAACUUAACUGGGAUUGUUUUUCGUGGUUAUGGUGAAGACUGUGUGGUAUUUUCUUUAUGUAUGUGAUGACUGGCACCUCUGGAAGUAUUCAAAACAUAUUUUCCAAAUGAAGAAAUAAAUGAAGUGGGUUCGCUAGGAUGGGGUGGGUUCUGGGAGCAAAAGGAAAAUUCUGAUCUGGGUGGAUUUAACAUGAGAGGAGGAGUGUUAUUUAGAAAAAAAAAAGAAUUAUUCCAGGAGAUGACUGGAAUUAUUGAUUUGUGUUUGUCCUCUGAUCCAGUGACUAAGUGGGUAAUGUAUUCAAACUCAACUUUCUCUACCCCCAUUUAUUUUUCUUCUUUUAGUGAAUUGUUUCUUCCCUUAUUAGACUCCUUUCUUCUUAUAUUUGUCCAUUCUCCAAAGAAUGUGCCAAAGGUUUUCCAAAUUCUGAUCCUGCUCUUUCCGGGGUGUCAUCAGUUGCCUUAAAAACACUCUGCAAGACAUUAGUGUCUCAGCAGAGCAUAAUAAACUUCAGCUUGGCUUUAGAACAAAAGCAGUGCCACACAAUGACGCAUCUUCCAUAAAAUAAGCUGUCCCCUAAACAGGGAGAAUAUAAAUGCAGCACACAUUAUCGUAGUAGCAGAUAUUCAUCUCCACCCACAAACUCAAAUGUGCCAGAAUUAUACCAUUGGCAUUUUCUCAUUUCCUUUAAAUCAACUUCAUUUUUUUUUUUCUCUCGAAGCUCCCAUCCCACCUGUCUGGGGCAGAAUUUCAUUUUAGACAUUAUUAGAGCUUGAAUCUGUCCAGAGUCUGGGUUGGAGCCCAGAACCAGGAGAAGGUCCUCUAAUCUCUCGUUUGUCCCAGUUCAUCCUGAGUUCCUGUGUUGCCCAAACCAAAGUCCAGAUGUCCUUGACUUCCCUGACAUGUAUGCGCUCAGUGCCUCAGUGGUCCAGCAUCCCAGACACUAUGUGGCCAUCCUGUGUGAGGCUUUUCCUACGUGGAGGUAUUCAGGAAGUCAAGAUUAGAAGUUAACGGUGGAUAAGAAUACAAUCAAUGAUUUUUAGUAAAGUUUGGUGUCACUCUCUUGAUUACUGCUAAGGAACUGUCGGUUUUACACAAAUUGCUUUGGCAACAUCAGUGCAAAUGUCAACAUAGUGACAAUCUAGGGGCAGACCUCAGUGAUAUUAAUGUUGCUGAGGGAUACUUUUAAGGAAACAAAUUCCAUGACACCUAAGAAUCUAAGUUCACACCAAUGAUGAGGAGUCUGAAAAUAAGCUAUAUGAUGUUAAAGCAGAGAAACCCAAAGUUGAUUAGGACGGGGUAAGCUCAAGCCCAACAAACAACAACAAACCUUAAGAAACUUUAACCCAACAUCUAAACCUGGAUUCAAUUCUCCCACUUGCUUUUCUGCUCUAUUUUUUAUCCAUCUGCCGUAAGAACUAUAAUUAUGUAGUUAUAUCAUAUUAUUGUCACCUAAUCUAAUUAGAGUGGUCAAUCUAAACACAAAAGUAGCAGGAAUAGACUUCUUAAGUUAAGACAUGACUUUCUUUGUGCACAAAACAAAUAUGGCCAUUCCGCAAAGAAUUAAGCUUGAAUUUCUUGAGGAUGCUGUACUUUAAUAGUUACCAAAUAUUGUGUAAAAGUCCCACUAAGAAAUUAGAUUUUACACCCUGGGUCGCUGGGAAAUAGGAAUAAUAACAACAAUACUUUCUGUGUGUAGCAAAGCAACUAUAUGUCAGCCAGUUAGAUUAUCAUCCCAGCCCAGAAUAAUAGGGAUAGAAUAGCUUAUUAUUAAUCCCAUUAUGUAGAAGGGAACACUGAGAAAUUAUGUGAUUUGCCCAUGGUCAUAUAUUAUUAAGUGGAAGAAAUGGGACCAUAACUCAGGCUAUUGUCUAAAAAGCCUUUAAUCCUUUCUGUUCUCUGUUUACGUACAUUUUGAUUCUGUUAAAUUAUAUUGUUUUUAUUUUCCCAUUAGCUCAAGGACAACAUCUUAGUAGAACAUCUGGAUUUAAUAUUCUUUCCACAAACUCUUCAGAGUCUAUUCAUUUGAAUGAAGGGCUUUUGUCAACAGUUAACCCUUCAGACUGCCUGUCAGACAAACAAAAAAGCAAGACCGACUGUACAGAUUUAAAAUACAUUUUAUAGUAGUCAGGGAAUUGAAUUUACUUUCUAAUUCUGUGGAAUGAAUUAUUUAUAGUCAAGAUAGACUGCUAGAUCAAACUUAUCUGUCUUUAAGCACCAGACAUUUCCAGAAUCCAGAAGAAGGGGUCAGUCACUGAGAUAGUUGGUUUAUGUCGUAAUCCUGACCAGGCAUCAUUAGAAUGGAGAAGAUUUAGGAAGCCUGGGAUUCCAACAUAUUUGCAGGACCAGGCAAAGACCUGGAGUCUGAGCAUAGUAAGUAGGCCAAGGGAAUAUCAUUCUUCUGAUGAGAGGGAGGGCAGAGGACAACACAGGAAUUCUAAGAUAGGUCUACAAUACAGGCCCUGCUCACAGGGGAUGGGACAGCAAGAUGUGUGGCACAAUAGGAAAAGGGCUCAAGACAGAGAUCUUGGCUUGAAGUUACAUUCUAUUAUACGACAUAGCCAGUAGGUGUUUGAACCAAAAUUACAAUGUAAGCAAUCCAGCUCCAGAGUCCCGAGGCACUUAAGGUGUCUUUGGUAAGGACAUUUAGAGAAGCACCGAUUGAGUCCUACAGGGGAAUAGAAGGAGGGAGAGAGGCAGACAGAUACCACUCUGACCAAAGGGAAUAAGAAAAGCUUCAGAGAAUAAGGAAGGCUUCACAAAGAGGUGCAUUUGAACAGGCUUCGAUAUUGGGGAAAAUUCUGAUAGCCAGGAAAUAGAAUGUGAGUGAUGGAAAAACCCACCUAAGAUGGCUUAGGCAGAACAAAAGUGUUCUGACGUACGUGUCUGAAAAAUCUAGUCAUAGUUCUGGCUUUCAGCUCAGCUUGAUCAGGGCUCCUGUUGGCAUUGUAGGGGAGGAAAAGAAAAUUUUUCUCUGUUACUUUCCUGCCUCCUAUGUUCUCUGGCUGGAGCCCUACAAAUUAGACUGACAAAAAGCAGAUUAACAAGAAAAAAAAACAAAAACAAAAACCAAUUAACAUGUGCAGCAUGCAUGUACAUAGGAGAAACUCCGUGACAAGUAACUCAAAGUGGUGGUUAGAACUUGGGGCUUAUAUAGCAUCUUAACAAGGAAGAAUAAAUGUGUACAGAAGUGAUAAGAGAAAGGACAGGGUUUUAGGCUUCGAGGGCAGCCAACGGUGGGAAGGUAAAUCUAUGGGGAAAAUUAACAGAGGAAGAUUUGUUCGUGCUGGUUCAUCUUGGUGCCAACUUCCCAUCUACCUCAUUGCCAUAAAACUUCCCCAGGAGAGGACAGUCCUCAUUUCUCAGAAGUUUCUGCUUUUAGUCCGAUGAUGGGUGUUCCAAGAAGGCUUCUUUCUGCAUCUGUUGAUUCUCAUUUUCCUCCAACUCAAAAUGAUCCCUUUACCAAAGUGACGUAUUUCGGGAUGGAGUGUUUGGAUUUCCUGCAGCACCUUCAGGACCUGGUUUCUCUAAGCUCUGUCUCCGGGACUGUAUUUGUAACUACUGGCCCGGACUUUCUUCUGUGUGAAGGAGCUUACGUUUGAUCCUGAGCAGAGACGUUUUUGUGUGGAGAUAAUACAUCAGUUGCCUGUGUGUUGGCAUGUCUGCAUUUAGGCGUCGGAAUUUCCCCUCAUACUUGCUCUAGCAUCAUGCUACUUUAGCCUAUACGACUGUGUGGGUACAUGGGGACUGAAUCUGUAUGACCAGGAAUCAGUCUACAAAUGGCUCACCAAUGGAGAAUGACUUCAGAGUUCCUAUCCCCCAAGAGGAAGCAUAUGUACAGCCAUUCAGUGGGAAACCAAAGGACAUGUGGCUGAAUUGUGGAGGUCUUCGAGUAGGAAGGCAGACCAAGUAAUCAACACUUGGGAUAAAUUUGCAGUUAAAGCAAAAGAGCCAAUUGUUUGAGAUUUGAGUUUCAGGGGUUGAAGUUAGGCUUUGUGAAUUUAGAUUUGUUGAGUUAAAACCAAACAAAAUAAAACAAAACAACCUGUUUUGUAUGGCCAGAUUCUACAACUAGUUUCUCCGUGCUCAUUUUGCACACAAUGAUUCCUAAUAAAAGCCGAUUAGUCCGCCCUAAAGAGUCUUGACGGCCCUAAUUGUUUUUUUCUCCAGAAGAGCAGUUUCUGUCACAUUUACGGAGAGGAGCACCAAUCUACCAAAAUGUUCUCAUUCCACAAACAAGGAGCCACUUAAAUGCCCAAGGACUCUACCAAGUGCCAAUGCAAACCAAGGAGGAAGAAAUGACUGGUCACUAUGGAACCACAGUGACGAGUGACUUGGAGGCUUCCUUCAGAAUUUCAGCACUUGCUUCCCUUCUUCCUAUAAUAGAAGUCUGUCAUCUGACAGAUGAUGAAUUCCUUUUAACAAUAACCAGAGUCCAGUGCCCAGCUCCUGAGCAGUUUUCUCCCUCAUCUAAUGGUUAGAAUUGGAAUUUAUUUGUCAUCCUGGCUGUUUCAGGAUCUCUGCCACUGCUGUGUCCACAGAGUUCCAGGGAGGUUGAUGGCUGAGGGGGCUGUUUCGAGACUCGUGAAACCCGAAUUUCCAGAACUGAUUCCCAGUUCGACCACUUACCGUCUCUGUAAGCGUGGCAAGUACUGUGCUUCUCCAAACCUCAGUUUACCCAAAUAUAAAAUGGACAUCACAAGAUACCCAAUUUAUAGAGUAUCGUGUGAGAGUUAUUAAAUACUACGGUGUGGAUAAUAAUAUGCCACCCAAAGUACGGCAUUUUGGCAGAAGGGUUAUUUUGAACUAAAGGAAUUGAGAAAUCAUAGACGCAGAACAAAGCUUUCUACCUUCGCCCUGCCUUGCCUCAAAGCAGAGCGUGAAUUUCCCUUUGCGCUGGCCUCCCCCCUGCUCCUCGCUCUAAUACCAGGAAGGGCAGAAUGACAAUCAUCGGAGACAACUCAAGACUCUUAUCAGCCUAGAGAUGGCACUGAGAGAAAUCUGCAUUUUAAACCUGCCUCAAAUGAACAACCCUUAUCUUCCCUUAGUUUCCCACAUAUAUUUAACUUCCCACAAGCUCAGAAGCUCAGAUUCUUUUUCUUUUGUCGCAUCCCGUCUCCGCAUUUAUCACUCUUCGUUAAAAUGCGCAGCUCUGUGGCUUGGUUCUAUUAGCCAGACCGAAUGGAGUGUUUUUGAAACAGCAGUGAAAUCUCUUGGAACAAAAUGAGAUCGCUCCUGCAACCAUUCUGCCCCAAAGCAUAUUUAUAAGCAAUGGCAAGGAAAGGAGAAGGAGGAAGACACCGCCAUAAGGGGCUUGCUGGCAAAACACGGGUUAUACGCCAGGUGCCUUGCCUGAAACUUGAAGACUGGGGCGAGAUUGUUCCAAACAAAAGUAGCGAAGUUCAGAGCCAGAGAAUUCUCUGGACACAAAGGCUUUGCAAUAGAGAACUGUAUAAUGCGGCCGGCAGGUCAGCUGCAAACCGAUGCCCCUGCCCCGCAGCCCAGGGUAACUAGAUUCCUUACCGUCCUUGGGGACAGAGAUGCCCACAGCACUAACUUCAGCCAGGAAACAGAAACCAGCAAGCUGCAAGGGUCGGGAGCACCGUCUCCUUGAGAGAUUAGCCAAGCACCAGUUGGUUUGCAUAAGGCAUGGAGAGCUGCCUGGGAGGACUUUGUCCUCAAGAUCCUUCUGCAUCCAAGAGCACAGGAGCUAAGAUCAUCCCCUGAUCCAACUGGCAUGAGUUCAAUCAAGGCCGACUCGUCGUAAGAGGAGGCUGCCAAAACAGAGCUGCCUUAGCCCAGGGUCCACGGAGGACAAGCACUGGCAUCAGCAGACCUGGCACCUCUGGGGGCCGUGUUGGCAGACAAAGCCCUCAACCCCUCUGCCAAGGCACCGACACUGAUGGACAGUAACAGCAGUACCUUCAGCAGCUCCUUGUGGCAUCUUUGGUCAGUAUCAGUGGGUGAGUCGCUAAAUCGGGCAGUGGCAGUGACCAGAGAUAACGCCUCAAAGAGCCACAAAAGAGAAAAGGAGAAUGGUAACUGUCACAUCACAACUAAAGACCACUGCUGUACAUGAAUGACAUACCCUCAGGGACACUGAGAAC